CAGCCGCCGCGGUAAUACGGAGGGGGCUAGCGUUGUUCGGAAUUACUGGGCGUAAAGCGCACGUAGGCGGCUUUGUAAGUCAGAGGUGAAAGCCCGGGGCUCAACCCCGGAAUUGCCUUUGAGACUGCAUCGCUUGAAUCCAGGAGAGGUGAGUGGAAUUCCGAGUGUAGAGGUGAAAUUCGUAGAUAUUCGGAAGAACACCAGUGGCGAAGGCGGCUCACUGGACUGGUAUUGACGCUGAGGUGCGAAAGCGUGGGGAGCAAACAGGAUUAGAUACCCCCGUAGUCCCUGUCUCUUAUAC
Molecule: ribosomal RNA, 301 nt
Filed under: uncultured bacterium
Lineage: Bacteria
Description: partial 16S ribosomal RNA
Rfam family: Bacterial small subunit ribosomal RNA
Source: RNAcentral